RNAcentral lists this ribosomal RNA (445 nucleotides) under uncultured bacterium. Its description in RNAcentral is "partial 16S ribosomal RNA". It matches the Rfam family "Bacterial small subunit ribosomal RNA", at positions 354 to 796 of the family's 1533-position model. The record is from RNAcentral.
GUGAGGAAUAUUGGUCAAUGGGCGAGAGCCUGAACCAGCCAAAUCGCGUGAAGGAAGGCGGUACUAAGUAUUGUAAACUUCUUUUAAUGGGGAGUAAAGAGGGGCACGAGUGCUCCGUUGCAAGUACCCAUUGAAUAAGGAUCGGCUAACUCCGUGCCAGCAGCCGCGGUAAUACGGAGGAUCCGAGCGUUAUCCGGAUUUAUGGGGUUUAAAGGGUGCGUAGGCGGGUUGUCAAGUCAGCGGUGAAACGUUACAGCUUAACUGUGACCGUGCCGUUGAAACUGUUAUUCUGGAGUGCGAGCGAGGUAGGCGGAAUGUGCCGUGUAGCGGUGAAAUGCAUAGAUAUGGCACAGAACUCCGAUUGCGAAGGCAGCUUACCAGUACGCUACUGACGCUGAGGCACGAAAGCGUGGGUAUCGAACAGGAUUAGAUACCCCAGUAGUCC